CAACCCUCAAGCCCUGCUUGGUGUUGGGCCCUGCCCGUUGCGGCCGGCCCUAAAGUCAGUGGCGGCGCCGUCUGGCUCUAAGCGUAGUACAUCUCUCGCUCUAGGGCCCCGCGGUGGCUUGCCAGCAACCCCAACUCCUAU
This 141-nucleotide unclassified non-coding RNA is filed under the name uncultured Leotiomycetes. RNAcentral describes it as "sequence contains ITS2". The record is from RNAcentral. Lineage: Eukaryota; Fungi; Ascomycota; Leotiomycetes. RNAcentral also lists the same sequence under 1 other name.